This 74-nucleotide transfer RNA is filed under the name Methanobacteriota archaeon. Its description in RNAcentral is "Euryarchaeota archaeon tRNA-Pro". It matches the Rfam family "tRNA". Rfam says of the family: Transfer RNA (tRNA) molecules are approximately 80 nucleotides in length. Their secondary structure includes four short double-helical elements and three loops (D, anti-codon, and T loops). The record is from RNAcentral. Lineage: Archaea; Methanobacteriati; Methanobacteriota.
CGGGAUAUAGCGCAGUCUGGUAGCGCAUCUGCUUUGGGAGCAGAGGGUCGUUGGUUCGAAUCCAGCUAUCCCGA